This 393-nucleotide ribosomal RNA is filed under the name uncultured bacterium. Its description in RNAcentral is "partial 16S ribosomal RNA". It matches the Rfam family "Bacterial small subunit ribosomal RNA", at positions 523 to 918 of the family's 1533-position model. The record is from RNAcentral.
AUACGGAGGAUCCGAGCGUUAUCCGGAUUUAUUGGGUUUAAAGGGUGCGUAGGUGGUUUGAUAAGUCAGCGGUGAAAGUUUGCAGCUUAACUGUAAAAAUGCCGUUGAAACUGUCGGACUUGAGUGUAAAUGAGGUAGGCGGAAUGCGUGGUGUAGCGGUGAAAUGCAUAGAUAUCACGCAGAACUCCGAUUGCGAAGGCAGCAUACUAAGCUACAACUGACACUGAAGCACGUAAGCAUGGGGAUCAAACAGGAUUAGAUACCCUGGUAGUCCAAGCAGUAAACGAUGAUUACUAGCUGUUUGCGAUAGACAGUAAGCGGCACAGCGAAAGCGUUAAGUAAUCCACCUGGGGAGUACGCCAGUAACGGGGAAACUUAAAGGAACUGAAAGGU